Molecule: ribosomal RNA, 233 nt
Filed under: uncultured bacterium
Lineage: Bacteria
Description: partial 16S ribosomal RNA
Rfam family: Bacterial small subunit ribosomal RNA
Source: RNAcentral
UGGCGGACGGGUGAGUAAUGUCUGGGAAACUGCCCGAUGGAGGGGGAUAACUACUGGAAACGGUAGCUAAUACCGCAUAACGUCGCAAGACCAAAGAGGGGACCUUGGGCCUCUUGCCAUCGGAUGUGCCCAGAUGGGAUUAGCUAGUAGGUGGGGUAACGGCUCACCUAGGCGACGAUCCCUAGCUGGUCUGAGAGGAUGACCAGCCACACUGGAACUGAGACACGGUCCAG